Lycium barbarum (goji berry) is the source of this 2164-nucleotide long non-coding RNA. RefSeq lists it as uncharacterized. The record is from RefSeq and is a predicted model, not a curated record. NCBI's taxonomy places the organism in Eukaryota, Viridiplantae, Streptophyta, Magnoliopsida, Solanales, Solanaceae. The transcript has 4 exons.
GGGGUUCGGGGUUGGGAUGAUCAAGGGAUUGGUUUGCAGGCGUUGGGUGGACGGGGGAGACAAUGAAAUUCGAAUUAGAAUGCCACUUAUGAAACUUGUUUGUACUUCCGUUAGAAAGGUCAGUUUCCUCCACACCAUACAAUCUCUUCGUGUCAAAUGGGUUGUCUAAAUUGCAACACAGCCAUUAAAUGAAAUGCAGGAAAGAAUUCCUAUGUAUCUGUGUGAAGUUGGAAGAGUUAGUUUUGAAAGUUAGAAAGUUUUUGUCUAUGUGUUUUUGAUAUGCAAUUUUUUCUCCUAAUGUUCUUUCACCUAAAUGAUGAGCUGAAGAAAAUGGAUGAACAGCUAAAAAAUGACAGAAGCUUUUCUUGUAAGCAAGGUUUUAGUCUCCUUUAAGCUCAGAGGCGUACGUAGCCUGUAAGGUUGGGGUUCAACUGAACCCCAAACUUUGGACACGGAGCCUAAACUUAUGUGUAAAAAAUUAUUAAAAUUGCAAUAAAUAGUAGAUAUGAACCCCUAACUUUAAAAAUAUAAUGGAUUUAAUGCUAAAAAUCUAUAGAUUGAACUCAUAAAGUUUAAAUCCUGGAUCCGUCUCUGUUUAAGCUAAAAGAUUACGUAUCGAAAAAAUUGUAAUUGUAAUUGUAAUGCUAAAGGGUACAAUUGAAAUAAGCAGAGCUCAAAAUUUUGGCACCUAAGUUUUAAGACAAAGGGGAGCUUCUGAUAAAUUAUUUUUGAAUGACAAGUUCAUAAAGUUAAAUCAUUUUGACUACCAUUGCCCAAAAACUAAGAUAAGUGAUUUCAUUUCAAUUGUAUUGCACUACCAAACUAUGCCUAGAUAUGACUAAGAAUCUGAUACAACCAUAUGUCAACGCCUUGUAUUCAAAUGUUUGAAUUGAGCAAAUAAUUUGUCCUGAAAAUACAAACCAGCUUCACUAAUACACUGGGGUGUUCUUUAUUGAUCUUAUGGAUAGUGAAGAACAGCAGUAUUCCUUUAAUUAGCAGAUGUGCAGAGGCCCUUUCAAUAGUUUUGAUCAUGUCUGCAGUUCAUAAAGAUGUUUAUUUGGAGCAUUUGGAUGUAUGUUUGCGUAAACUAUGACAAUUCAUUUCUGAUUUUUAGCUAAGGCACAGGGAUAAAUUUGUUUCAUCUGUUCUUCAGAUAGCUGCAGUUUUUAACUUGAUUUUGACGCUUCUUGAUGGAUUCUGAAUAUGAGCUUCUGUUCUACGGUGUUUGAAAUCAUUAUACCAUCACCAAUGCCUAACAGAACUGUCGGCCUUUGUCAGCUCCUCUGUUGUUUGCCGGACUUAAUGUUGUUUGGUCUCAACGAUAACUCCUGUUUGCGAUUUUGUAUGCUUCCGUCCUUAUUGGGAAAGAAGAGUGCCAUCUUGCUGCUGCUUUGUUUAGCUUGUUUUAUAUGUUGUUGAUUACUCAGAGAACUUAGUGGUGUGUUUUCACCAACACCAUUCAGUAAGUUAAGCAGAGAGGUGUCUGCAAUACCAUUGAAUCCUCAUUGUUCAUCUGCUUGCUAAUUUUGCUGUCAAACACUCUGGAUUUGGAUGCAAUAAGAAUAGAAAGAUCUGCCGAAGGUCGCGUUGCUGGCUGCGGUACUAUGUAUCUACAGGCCCUUAGCAUUUGAUGCAGAAUAUAGUCGUUGGCUAGAAGAACACAACAAACACAUCACUGAGUGAAGGACAGCUGUCAAUUCACAUGCAAGUGACCCUGAACUGCGAAGUAUUGUGAAUAAUGUCACUGCACAAUUUGAUGAGGUUUUCAGGGUGAAAGGAAAUGCAGCCAAGGCGGACGUAUUCCAUGUCUUGUCAGGGAUGUGGAAAACCCUCGCCGAGCGGUGUUAUGUAGAUUGGUGGCUUCCGCCCAUUGGAACUUCUUAAGAUACGGGUUUUCAGGAGCAUACACCUGCGCAGUAGGAUCACCUCAGUUAUCAGCUUAUUGGUGAGCCCCAUUCCUCUCAGGGUUCAACAUGGAGUCUGCAUUAGUAUUCAGUUUAUGGUAGUCCAGGGCCAUGUCCUGGUAGUUAGUAUUCAAACAUAUUUUAGAGGUUUCAAAGACAGAUGUUAGUCCACAGAGUCAGUUAUGCUUUCAUGUUUGCAGACUGUUAUGUUUUCAUGAUUUUUCACGCUAUGAGAUAAUUUCAAGACUUUAUUCCGCAAA